This is a long non-coding RNA of Podarcis raffonei (Aeolian wall lizard), 3084 nucleotides long. RefSeq lists it as uncharacterized. NCBI's taxonomy places the organism in Eukaryota, Metazoa, Chordata, Lepidosauria, Squamata, Lacertidae. The record is from RefSeq and is a predicted model, not a curated record. The transcript has 2 exons.
GAGCGCAGGGCGAGCGGCGACUUGAGGCGCCAUCCGUUCUCCGGGCCGGCGGAUCUUUGGAAGACCAAGGGGACCGGCAGUGGGAUGAACAUGUCGGGGACCUGUCACAGAAGAUGGAAUGUACACAUACACACAUACACACACACACACACACACACACACACACACACACAAACGAACCAACCAACCAACCAACCAAGGCUAUUAUAGUAGACAUUUUCCAAAAUAAUAACAAAAGCCAAACUGGGGAUGAUGGCUGUUUUUGGAUAGUGUUUGAUCUCACCUGAAGAAAUUCUCUUUCUGGAGUGAAGCUGGGAAGAGGGUACAUGUGCACCCCAUUUCAGCCUUCAAAGGGAAAAGGAAGGUCUGUAGAUGCUAAUAAUAAACCACCGUAGGAAAGAGGAGCUGAGUUAAUCACAAAUCCACCCAUCCAAAGAAACAAGGCAGUCACCUAACAGGAGGACUUGGUUCGUUUCCAGGAGAGCUGCUUCAGCCUGCAUUGGAAUUGCCCACCAAAUGUAAAUCCUGAACAGGCUACCUUGAAAAUUACUCCUUUCCACGUUCUAAUCUGCAUUUAACAACGCUUAAAAGUAUUGCUUUGUAGAUGAAAGGGAGUUCUUAGCAGCACCUGCGAAAAUGCCCUUAUAACUGCUGGUCCAAUGAGGUAUUGCCCCCUCUUCUAUUUCAUCCCAAACAAACUAAAAGAAACACACUGCUCUUUUAAAAUGUGCAGCAUGGAUAUGCCAUUUCCAGUCUCCACCCUUUCUGCACCAGUAUCUACUCUACUGGGCAUUAGAAGAAUUGUUUCAAUGUGAUUUAUUUUUAUAUUGUAACUACUCUAAACCAAUGGGAAUUGGGUGGGGUGGAAAUAAAAAAUAUUCAUCCUAAAUACAUCGCUAAUCUCAAAUUUAAUUGCUGGCAAAAGUAUUUAUUGUUUUGUUUAUUUGUUGUUUCCAUUGUUUCCACCUUUCUACAACAGAACUGAUGCAUGGAGUAAGAGGUUUAAACAAGGAGACGUGGAACAGAAAAGUGUAUGGAAUAAUGAGUAAACAGAGGAAGGUUUUAUCCCUAUAAGCCAGCAUCCGAAGAGUUGAGCUCAAUGGCUUGUGGGUGGGUCCCUGCUUGGAUUCUGGACUACAGUAUUUAUUUCUUGAAACAGCAAAAUUUUCUCCUCCGUGUCAUAUUACAAACUAUUUAGUUUCAAAAAUGACUUCUUUCUAGCAUGCCAAAUUUCAUUGGGUAAGAGGAACCAGUUGUGCCGUUCUAUGGAUGUUGGCCUUAAUUUCUCUCUGUAGACAGAUCAUAUAGAUGUGUGCAUACACCUGUUUGCUUUUUCUUAAAUAAUCCAGCUUUUACAUUGUUAUUUGUGCAUUCAAACUUCAAAUAUAAUGGCACGCAAUUAAUUAGCAUGCAGGUAAUAGAUAUGUGCAGACUCAAAGUAAGGGAUGGGCAUUCUGCGUUUCCAUCUGCAUCACACAAGAUGGAUGGGAAAGAAUAUCCUAUCCACACCACACUGUACUAAUGCUUUUUCAAUCAGCAAUGGAGCGCUGGGCACUGCGUGCAUGGUUCCCAAUCCAAUAUCUGGAACUGUAUGUAUAGCUGGGUGCUGGCAUCCAAACAAAAGAUCUGCUCAUGUAGCAAUUUUGCAGCGUAAACAGAUCCUGAUCCAGAAGAUGAACCUGCAUUAUGUAUGGAUACUUCUUGCUGGAUUGGUUAAACUUGUAUAUCCUUUUUCUGUGAACUGAUUAAUCCAGAGCAAGUAGCACCAUCAACUUAGAUGGAUAAGAAUCAUCACUAAACAUGCAUACACACUCUUUGGUCACUUCAACCAUGCAGAUUAUGUGUACAAAAGGUUAACUGAAAUAAGAGAGAGAGAGAGAGAGAGAGAGAGAGAGAGAGAGAGAGAGAAGCCACUCUCUAUUAAAUAUUAUUUAGAAAACAUUAUUGCUAUCCUGCAAUGUACAAGACGUUACUUUGCAGUUCUAGAGUUAGAUAUGUCUUUUGCAUGUAUUAAGAUACUUCCUGUCUUCAUUUAGAAUUAAAAACUGGGAAACAUGAAAUCUCUUUCUACCCCUACUGUAUCAUAUUUGUUUACCAUUUAAAUGUUUAUCGUAAAAAGAUGUACAAUUUCAGCCUUUCCUCCUGUACAACCUAGCAUCCUCACUACAACCUGGGCCUACCUUCAAAGAAAUGGAAGGAUCUAAAGUACUAUGAUGUCGUGGCUUACAAGCUCAAUCCAAAAGAAAUAAAGAUUUGGAAGAAAAAUUCAAUAAGUGAUCUAAUAGAGCAAUUAAUGGACUGUCUGAAAAAUUACCAAGAAAUCUGGAAUGAACACUCUUUUCCAGUUUCUCAUUCCAAACCUUAUUAAGAUUUGGUUGGUUCAUUUUAUCUUUCUAAAAUGCAAUUUGCUAAUUUGGAGGCAAUAGUGGGGAAAUCUAGAAAGAGGUUUGGAGGAGGUGAUAAUUUAAAGAGAGAGAAAGAGAGAUUGAGAUUUAAUCAGAAAUAGUUCUCCUCCUACAGAAAGUAACAUAAAAUUAAAAGAGGAAAUAAAAGGAACAAAAAGAAUGGGAUUUCUUUGUUGCUGCGGAACUCUCGCUGGGAUAUCGUCAAUGAAUAGGGGGGGGGGCAUCAUUCUUUGGCUGUCUUCCACUCUAUCUUCUUUUAGGGGAUAGGGAGAUACCUGCAAAGCGUUUUACCCUCAUUCCCCAGUUCAUAAAAAAGGGAAGGUAGGAAAGUGGAUGUGAUAUUUGCAAAAAGAUUGCUGUAGUGGGAAACUAGUAAAUAUACAGAGGAGUUUUCUCACGUAAGACAUGGAAGAGAAAAUAUUUGGGGUAAGCCUUCAUCAAUAGGGGGCCAGGCCUUUGCUUUAUCCCACUCAUGGGCAAUGAGAUCAGCUUGGUUUUUUUAGAGUGAUCCUUUAUGACUUUUGGGGAAAGGUGUCAUCCUGAAUUUUUCCACCGAAAUUCCACUGCAGUAACCUGUGCCUUUUAACAUGAUCAGAAAUUGUACAGUUUGAUGCUUUGCACAUUAAAAAAAAUGUUCAACGAAACAAUAAAGCCAAUUUCAACCCACCCUGAAAAAUAA